GGGGGAUUAGCUCAGCUGGGAGAGCGUUUGGCUGGCAGCCAAAAGGUCAGCGGUUCGAGCCCGCUAUCCUCCACUA
Molecule: transfer RNA, 76 nt
Filed under: Planctomycetaceae bacterium
Lineage: Bacteria; Pseudomonadati; Planctomycetota; Planctomycetia; Planctomycetales; Planctomycetaceae
Description: tRNA-Ala
Rfam family: tRNA
About the family: Transfer RNA (tRNA) molecules are approximately 80 nucleotides in length. Their secondary structure includes four short double-helical elements and three loops (D, anti-codon, and T loops).
Source: RNAcentral